RNAcentral lists this ribosomal RNA (667 nucleotides) under uncultured bacterium. RNAcentral describes it as "bacterial SSU rRNA". It matches the Rfam family "Bacterial small subunit ribosomal RNA", at positions 726 to 1400 of the family's 1533-position model. The record is from RNAcentral.
CGCCUGGCCUGUUGUUGACGCUGAGGCACGAAAGCGUGGGGAGCAAAUAGGAUUAGAUACCCUAGUAGUCCACGCCGUAAACGAUGAGGACCAAGUGUUGGGGGUGAAACCUCAGUGCUGAAGUUAACGCAGUGAGUCCUCCGCCUGGGGAGUAUGCACGCAAGUGUGAAACUCAAAGGAAUUGACGGGGGCCCGCACAAGCGGUGGAGUAUGUGGUUUAAUUCGAAGCAACGCGAAGAACCUUACCAGGCCUUGACAUGGGAUGCGAAGACGCAGAGAUGCGUUGGAGGCAAACAUCCACACAGGUGGUGCAUGGUUGUCGUCAGCUCGUGUCGUGAGAUGUUGGGUCAAGUCCCGCAACGAGCGCAACCCUUGUGGCAUGUUGCUAACAGGAAAGCUGAGGACUCAUGCCAGACUGCCGGUGACAAACCGGAGGAAGGCGGGGAUGACGUCAAAUCAUCAUGCCCCUUAUGGCCUGGGCUACACACGUACUACAAUGGCGGCUACAAAGAGCGGCGAGACAGGGAUGUCGAGCGAAUCUCAUAAAAGCCGUCCCAGUUCGGAUUGGAGCCUGCAACCCGGCUCCAUGAAGUUGGAAUCGGUAGUAAUCGCGGAUCAGCAUGCCGCGGUGAAUACGUUACCGGGCCUUGUACACACCGCCCGUCAA